This 620-nucleotide ribosomal RNA is filed under the name Stenotrophomonas sp. S13A4. RNAcentral describes it as "bacterial SSU rRNA". It matches the Rfam family "Bacterial small subunit ribosomal RNA", at positions 140 to 755 of the family's 1533-position model. The record is from RNAcentral. Lineage: Bacteria; Pseudomonadati; Pseudomonadota; Gammaproteobacteria; Lysobacterales; Lysobacteraceae.
GGGAUAACGUAGGGAAACUUACGCUAAUACCGCAUACGACCUACGGGUGAAAGCAGGGGAUCUUCGGACCUUGCGCGAUUGAAUGAGCCGAUGUCGGAUUAGCUAGUUGGCGGGGUAAAGGCCCACCAAGGCGACGAUCCGUAGCUGGUCUGAGAGGAUGAUCAGCCACACUGGAACUGAGACACGGUCCAGACUCCUACGGGAGGCAGCANUGGGGAAUAUUGGACAAUGGGCGCAGGCCUGAUCCAGCCAUACCGCGUGGGUGAAGAAGGCCUUCGGGUUGUAAAGCCCUUUUGUUGGGAAAGAAAUCCAGCCGGCUAAUACCUGGUUGGGAUGACGGUACCCAAAGAAUAAGCACCGGCUAACUUCGUGCCAGCAGCCGCGGUAAUACGAAGGGUGCAAGCGUUACUCGGAAUUACUGGGCGUAAAGCGUGCGUAGGUGGUCGUUUAAGUCCGUUGUGAAAGCCCUGGGCUCAACCUGGGAACUGCAGUGGAUACUGGGCGACUAGAGUGUGGUAGAGGGUAGCGGAAUUCCUGGUGUAGCAGUGAAAUGCGUAGAGAUCAGGAGGAACAUCCAUGGCGAAGGCAGCUACCUGGACCAACACUGACACUGAGGCACG